CCAUCAGUAACAUCUAGUAAUAUGUAGUGGCAAUCUAGCAGAACCAAAAUAGAACCUUGAGAUAUAGUUCUUGUGUGAUUCAAUCCCUCUAUCAUGAGUCCUGACUAGAUAGCAAAUCAUGGAUAAAUCAUCAAAUCUUAUCAUCAGUCAUAUGAUAGAUUCGAUUAGCUUAAAUUCAAUUAUGAUUCUUAUAGAAACUCUUUUCUAUCAAUCACACUACUGUGUUCAUAGACUCACAGACUUAGCCUCUCAAAUUUUAUAGGACUACUCCUUUCUAUCAAGAUCGAUAGAUUCUAUCUAGAUGCGCACCCUACUUCUACAGUGAAUCAACUAUCGCUAACAUCUACUACAAGGACUCAAAAAGGUCAUAUUUCUAUAUCAGUCAAACUUCAGUGGUCUCGCUGUAAGCAAAUAUGCCAUUGUAGAUCAAAGGACUAUUCACACAACUACAGCAUUGAGACGAUCACUGAUGAUUGAGUAAAAAUCAUGUGAUCUCUCAUAUGGUCACGCUCAGUACUAGUUCUCUAACAACUACCCACAUUUAUCGCUUAAUGUCUCUACACUAUAGAUCAGAGACUCAUCUACUCUGAAGGAAGUGAUCUAUGCUUUGAUUUAUCCGAAACGAUCACCAUCUUUAUGAUGAUAUUAUGAUCGGAAGUAAUUAAGAAUAUAUAUCGUAAGUAUUAAUUUUAUGGAUGAUUCAAGAACAUAUCACACUUGAAUGAAAAUAAAAUUUUAUCCUUGUAUUGAUCAAAUCUAUAUUUUAAGUAUAAAAUUAUACACUAAAGUUAUUACAAUGUGUCCACCAUAUUGGCUUCUAAGACAUACAUCCAAAAAUCUCUCACUUGAAUUAAAGCCAAUUGACCACUAAUCUAAGUCCUAUCUUCUCAAGAUGGACCUUCAUAUUUGGCUGACUCAAUUACUUUAUCAGCGGAUCUGCUACGUUGUCUGUGGAG
RNAcentral lists this long non-coding RNA (956 nucleotides) under Elaeis guineensis (African oil palm). Its description in RNAcentral is "long non-coding RNA (EGUI_LNC062431)". Lineage: Eukaryota; Viridiplantae; Streptophyta; Magnoliopsida; Arecales; Arecaceae. The record is from RNAcentral.